CCUUGUCUGGAUACUGGAUAUGCCAGCCUCACUGCCCUGUGGGCCUCUGGUCCCGGGUGCUGAGGGUGGUACAUGCAUAAGCAUGGCAUGGCUGUGCAUUAGAGAGGAGGAUUCUCAGGGGAAGAUUCCCAGGCAGACCCAGGUUUCUCCUAGAGGUGGGGGUGAGAGCUAUCUUUUUGUGUGCUUUGGGGUUGGGGGUUGGGGUGGUUGCCAUGGCAACACAGCAUAAGAACACCCACCUCCCCAACAUUCAGCCCCAGAGGACUCAGGGGUUGGGGGGUGGAUAAUGGAUUGACACCCCCCGAUGCCCCCGCCACCUGGCACUGCCAGCCGGAGAUGGCAGCGUCAAAUAGGAGAGAAUGGUCCCUUUGUUUCUAGGCUCACGGUGUUGGGGGAGCAAGCAUGGGCACACAGAAGGGCCUUUCCCAGGCCCCGUUCCAGUUUGCAUGCCUCCCGCUGGCCUCCAGAGACUCCUGGGGCCAUCCACUGGUCUCCAUCCCCUGGCAGAUGGUGCCCCCUUGCCUUUUCUCCUAGUUCAAGCCCCGUGUUCCCCAGGCUGCCAUGCCACAUCUCUCAGCCUGUCUCCCGAGACUCCCCCCAGAUCCAGAAUAUAGCGCUGGAUGUCUGCCUGGAAUGGAGACAGGGAGACCUCCACGCUCCUAAAGGCGUCAGCAGGCUCACUCACCGCUAGGAGCUGUCCGUGGUGCUGGAUGUCACUGGUCCGCACGUCCACAGGGCAGAGAGAGGGCGGGAGGGUGGAGCACCCACCCGCCCAGCGGAGAAGCUGAAGGGAAGAAAAGCAGAAACAUUUGGAUACAGUAAGUGAAAAGGCCAUUUUAAAGGAAGUCUCCCUGCUACUGGAGGGGAGGAGAGCCUUGGAGUCAAUGAGUGCUGAACUUUCCACCCCUUCAUCCUAGAUCUUCAAGAGCCCUAGAUUGGCCCAGCUCUCCUCGGGAUCCUUUUGAAAAAUCCACAGGCACAAGCAAGGCUGAGUCAGUGCUUUUGCCCUUAGGCAAGAACAAGGCUGAGGCCAAAGACAGACCUUUAAAUCCCACUCUAGAUACUAAGGCCUCCACAAGCAAUUUAGUAAUAAAGAUGAACAAGUGAUCAA
Molecule: non-coding RNA, 1111 nt
Organism: Peromyscus maniculatus bairdii (prairie deer mouse)
Lineage: Eukaryota; Metazoa; Chordata; Mammalia; Rodentia; Cricetidae
Source: RefSeq, a predicted model, not a curated record